AGUCGACGAAGAGUUAUUAAAUGAGAGCUUCGGCAGGAAUUUAAUAAAUCUUAGUGGCGGACGGGUGAGUAACGUGUGGGCAACCUGCCUUAUACUGGGGAAUAAUCACUGGAAACGGUGACUAAUACCGCAUAAUGUCUUUUUACGGCAUCGUAGGAAGAAGAAAGGAGCAAUCCGGUAAAAGAUGGGCCCGCAUCUGAUUAGCUUGUUGGUGAGAUAACAGCCCACCAAGGCGACGAUCAGUAGCCGACCUGAGAGGGUGAUCGGCCACAUUGGGACUGAGACACGGCCCAAACUCCUACGGGAGGCAGCAGUGGGGAAUAUUGCACAAUGGGGGAAACCCUGAUGCAGCAACGCCGCGUGAAGGAAGAAGGUUUUCGGAUCGUAAACUUCUAUCAAUAGGGACGAAAUAAAUGACGGUACCUAAAUAAGAAGCCCCGGCUAACUACGUGCCAGCAGCCGCGGUAAUACGUAGGGGGCAAGCGUUAUCCGGAAUUACUGGGUGUAAAGGGAGCGUAGGCGGCAUGGUAAGUAAGAUGUGAAAGCCCGAGGCUUAACCUCGAGGAUUGCAUUUUAAACUAUCAAGCUAGAGUACAGGAGAGGAAAGCGGAAUUCCUAGUGUAGCGGUGAAAUGCGUAGAUAUUAGGAAGAACACCAGUGGCGAAGGCGGCUUUCUGGACUGAAACUGACGCUGAGGCUCGAAAGCGUGGGGAGCAAACAGGAUUAGAUACCCUG
RNAcentral lists this ribosomal RNA (735 nucleotides) under uncultured bacterium. Its description in RNAcentral is "bacterial SSU rRNA". It matches the Rfam family "Bacterial small subunit ribosomal RNA", at positions 60 to 789 of the family's 1533-position model. The record is from RNAcentral.